Molecule: ribosomal RNA, 530 nt
Filed under: Stenotrophomonas sp. APH4
Lineage: Bacteria; Pseudomonadati; Pseudomonadota; Gammaproteobacteria; Lysobacterales; Lysobacteraceae
Description: bacterial SSU rRNA
Rfam family: Bacterial small subunit ribosomal RNA
Source: RNAcentral
CCUACGGGAGGCAGCAGUGGGGAAUAUUGGACAAUGGGCGCAAGCCUGAUCCAGCCAUACCGCGUGGGUGAAGAAGGCCUUCGGGUUGUAAAGCCCUUUUGUUGGGAAAGAAAAGCAGCGGGCUAAUACCUUGCUGUUUUGACGGUACCCAAAGAAUAAGCCCCGGCUAACUUCGUGCCAGCAGCCGCGGUAAUACGAAGGGUGCAAGCGUUUCUCGGAAUUUCUGGGCGUAAAGCGUGCGUAGGUGGUUGUUUAAGUUUGUUGUGAAAACCCUGGGCUCAACCUGGGAACUGCAGUGGAAACUGGAUGACUAGAGUGUGGUAGAGGGUAGCGGAAUUCCCGGUGUAGCAGUGAAAUGCGUAGAGAUCGGGAGGAACAUCCAUGGCGAAGGCAGCUCCCUGGACCAACACUGACACUGAGGCACGAAAGCGUGGGGAGCAAACAGGAUUAGAUACCCUGGUAGUCCCCGCCCUAAACGAUGCGAACUGGAUGUUGGGUGCACUUGGCACGCAGUAUCGAAGCUAACGCGU